AGUGAACGCUGGCGGUAGGCCUAACACAUGCCAGUCGAACGGCAGCACAGUAAGAGCUUGCUCUUACGGGUGGCGAGUGGCGGACGGGUGAGGAAUACAUCGGAAUCUACUUUUUCGUGGGGGAUAACGUAGGGAAACUUACGCUAAUACCGCAUACGACCUACGGGUGAAAGCAGGGGAUCUUCGGACCUUGCGCGAUUGAAUGAGCCGAUGUCGGAUUAGCUAGUUGGCGGGGUAAAGGCCCACCAAGGCGACGAUCCGUAGCUGGUCUGAGAGGCUGAUCAGCCACACUGGAACUGAGACACGGUCCAGACUCCUACGGGAGGCCGCAGUGGGGAAUAUUGGACAAUGGGCGCAAGCCUGAUCCAGCCAUACCGCGUGGGUGAAGAAGGCCUUCGGGUUGUAAAGCCCUUUUGUUGGGAAAGAAAAGCAGCAGGUUAAUACCCCGCUGUUCUGACGGUACCCAAAGAAUAAGCACCGGCUAACUUCGUG
This 492-nucleotide ribosomal RNA is filed under the name uncultured bacterium. Its description in RNAcentral is "partial 16S ribosomal RNA". It matches the Rfam family "Bacterial small subunit ribosomal RNA", at positions 29 to 507 of the family's 1533-position model. The record is from RNAcentral.